This is a long non-coding RNA of Fukomys damarensis (Damara mole-rat), 437 nucleotides long. RefSeq lists it as uncharacterized. Lineage: Eukaryota; Metazoa; Chordata; Mammalia; Rodentia; Bathyergidae. The record is from RefSeq and is a predicted model, not a curated record. The transcript is spliced from 3 exons.
AGCUACCGCCUACUCCCGGCCAAGAGCUUAGACGUCAUCAGACAGCGACCGCCCAGGACCAAUCAGAAUGUCAGCUGGGAACGCCGCCUGCGCCACGUGAUCCUGGAACCCCACCUCUCCAAGAACCCCCUUUUAGUUUUGAGACCCCAAGAUUUUCCCAACCCUCAGCAACAAUCUGAGCAUGAUAUGGCCUGAAUAUAUUUCUACACUUAGAGGACUUCACAUUCUUUCAGGGUAGCACUCAGCCGCCCACCUGCCCUAGCCUGUUACAGACUGUUAGCCCAACAUUAUCAACCUCAGAAGGACUUCAGGGUGAGAAGGAACGGCCUGCAGAAGCCUGGCCUCAAACUGUGUUGACCACCCACACUGUUGCCCACAGGGGCCUGGACUCCACCGAGGGGAGAUGGGAGACUGCGCUUUUGAAUCACACACCUGCU